UAGUAGCAAAUAUUCAAGUGAAAUCCUUGAAGACUGAAGUGGGUGGAGAAGGUUCCAUGCGAGAGAGCAUUUAAAUAUGGGUCAGUUGAUCCUAAGAUAUCCGCUGCGGAUUACUGAGAACAGGAGUUCAAAUCCAUCUCUUGGCAAUCGAGAGAGAAAUGGGCUAAUAUCCCCGUACCUGGACAUAGAGAUAAAUGCUCAUUUUGGGUGUUUCGCAUGGUAACACGGUACUGCGAAGCUAAAAUACGCUGUUUGUU
This 257-nucleotide non-coding RNA is filed under the name Gongylonema pulchrum. RNAcentral describes it as "Eukaryotic large subunit ribosomal RNA". It matches the Rfam family "Eukaryotic large subunit ribosomal RNA", at positions 1458 to 1691 of the family's 3401-position model. Lineage: Eukaryota; Metazoa; Nematoda; Chromadorea; Rhabditida; Gongylonematidae. The record is from Rfam by way of RNAcentral.